UUCCGUUAAUUGAUUAUGACGUACUUGUACUGAUUGAGAUUUUAACACGAAGUGAGUGGCGAACGGGUGAGUAACACGUGGGUAACCUGCCCAGAAGUAGGGGAUAACACCUGGAAACAGAUGCUAAUACCGUAUAACAGAGAAAACCGCAUGGUUUUCUUUUAAAAGAUGGCUCUGCUAUCACUUCUGGAUGGACCCGCGGCGUAUUAGCUAGUUGGUGAGGUAAAGGCUCACCAAGGCAGUGAUACGUAGCCGACCUGAGAGGGUAAUCGGCCACAUUGGGACUGAGACACGGCCCAGACUCCUACGGGAGGCAGCAGUAGGGAAUCUUCCACAAUGGACGCAAGUCUGAUGGAGCAACGCCGCGUGAGUGAAGAAGGGUUUCGGCUCGUAAAGCUCUGUUGUUAAAGAAGAACGUGGGUAAGAGUAACUGUUUACCCAGUGACGGUAUUUAACCAGAAAGCCACGGCUAACUACGUGCCAGCAGCCGCGGUAAUACGUAGGUGGCAAGCGUUAUCCGGAUUUAUUGGGCGUAAAGCGAGCGCAGGCGGUCUUUUAAGUCUAAUGUGAAAGCCUUCGGCUCAACCGAAGAAGUGCAUUGGAAACUGGGAGACUUGAGUGCAGAAGAGGACAGUGGAACUCCAUGUGUAGCGGUGAAAUGCGUAGAUAUAUGGAAGAACACCAGUGGCGAAGGCGGCUGUCUGGUCUGCAACUGACGCUGAGGCUCGAAAGCAUGGGUAGCGAACAGGAUUAGAUACCCUGGUAGUCCAUGCCGUAAACGAUGAUUACUAAGUGUUGGAGGGUUUCCGCCCUUCAGUGCUGCAGCUAACGCAUUAAGUAAUCCGCCUGGGGAGUACGACCGCAAGGUUGAAACUCAAAAGAAUUGACGGGGGCCCGCACAAGCGGUGGAGCAUGUGGUUUAAUUCGAAGCUACGCGAAGAACCUUACCAGGUCUUGACAUCUUCUGACAGUCUAAGAGAUUAGAGGUUCCCUUCGGGGACAGAAUGACAGGUGGUGCAUGGUUGUCGUCAGCUCGUGUCGUGAGAUGUUGGGUUAAGUCCCGCAACGAGCGCAACCCUUAUUACUAGUUGCCAGCAUUAAGUUGGGCACUCUAGUGAGACUGCCGGUGACAAACCGGAGGAAGGUGGGGACGACGUCAAAUCAUCAUGCCCCUUAUGACCUGGGCUACACACGUGCUACAAUGGAUGGUACAACGAGUCGCGAGACCGCGAGGUUAAGCUAAUCUCUUAAAACCAUUCUCAGUUCGGACUGUAGGCUGCAACUCGCCUACACGAAGUCGGAAUCGCUAGUAAUCGCGGAUCAGCAUGCCGCGGUGAAUACGUUCCCGGGCCUUGUACACACCGCCCGUCACACCAUGAGAGUU
Molecule: ribosomal RNA, 1384 nt
Filed under: Pediococcus pentosaceus
Lineage: Bacteria; Bacillati; Bacillota; Bacilli; Lactobacillales; Lactobacillaceae
Description: bacterial SSU rRNA
Rfam family: Bacterial small subunit ribosomal RNA
Source: RNAcentral